Molecule: long non-coding RNA, 5980 nt
Filed under: Eucalyptus grandis
Lineage: Eukaryota; Viridiplantae; Streptophyta; Magnoliopsida; Myrtales; Myrtaceae
Description: long non-coding RNA (EGRA_LNC003834)
Source: RNAcentral
GAAUAUUUGAUUAGGACCAUAACAAAUCAGUACCACCCGAGACCUUAACGUCAGAGAUUGGCAUAGCCCAUUCAGAAAAGCCCAACCAGCGUGUUUGCUGUUCAUAACUCUCUCCACAUAAGGUAACAGCACCCAAAAUCCGACAAAUCCUCUUAGAACAUUGAACACUCUUUAGUACUAACUGCAAGUAAUGCUAAAAUUCAUAGACGUUGCAUACACUCCGGGUUUUAAGAGAGUAGGCUAUUAAUGACAUUGGACCAAACCAUUCCACAUGACGCGUGCAUGUUGUGCAAAUGCGUCACAACAGUGCAACAUGCAUGGCCAUCUGUGGCCACACAAAAGCCAAACAGACUAUUAUCCCGGCUUUGCUGCCUUUUUUGUUUCUCAAUCCUUUCAUUUCCUUCCAAACAUUGCAAGUUUCAGAGAGAUCUAUGGCUAUCACUCAGAGAUAAAUCUCAUAUUAAUUGAGGGGUACAAGAAUCUCAAGGUUUGAAAUGGAACUCAAAGCUAUAUUUAAAGUCUCUUCUAUUUGAUUUUCAUAUUUGAAGAAAAAUGUCAUUUUCAUCACAGAAAUAAAAAUUCCUAAAACGGGUCUAGUUCUUCACAGUAUUUGUGAGAUUCUUUUGCAGGAUUCAAGUUUCAGACCUCUAGCUCAUUCAUCCUAGAAAUCCCAGGUAAAUCUGAUCAAAUUCACGAUUAUAUGCAUGCAUCCUCCUUAAAAGAUAAAAGUAUAUUUUAUGGUCUUGUUUGUAAUUAUUUUCUGCUCAUGCAACUCACCUAGUUGAAAAAUCUAGCUACGAAGUCAUGUGAUUGUUCAACAAGUAUCUUUGCACUAAUUCCCUCUAUCCCAACAAAGCAGCCAAUUUUCAGAAGUAGGGUUAUGCCAUGGUUCGAAUUGAUUUAGUUUGGUUCUUCUUUAGCAGUAAUUUUCAGACCAAACUGAAAAAUCCUCCUAAAACAUAAAUGAUCAAAAUUAAAUCCACGAUUUGGCAUGUACGUAAUAAAGACAUCAAGACAUCGUUUGGGCCUUAUAAUUCUUUUAAACAAGACCUCUGCAUUCUUCGGGACCCAUUUGUAAAAAAGGUCUCCAGGUCCAAAUGUAAUCAAAGUGUGGCCACUUAGACGUAGCUAGCAAAAAAUUUUAUGAGAUGCCAACCAAGAAUGUUAUCUGUUGGACAAGCACAAUUUCUGGGUACAUGAACUGCGGUCAGCUUGAUGAAGCCAGAGGGUUAUUCAAUACAAGUCCAGCCAAGGAUAUUGUCCUGUGGAUGGCUAUGGCCACCACAAUAGUUUUAAUUCUUAUAAGGAAUAGAACACUUUUAGCUUAAAAGUAAAGCAAGUGUAUAAGACUACAAAUUGACAAUGUGAAAGUAGUUUCUAUACAAUAGCAAUUCCUAAAAUUUUCUCGUAAACAGAAGAAAUGUUUGAGAAAAGAUAAUCUCAUUGGUUUUGGUGGGCAAACCUGAACUCAACAGAAAAUUCAAGUUGAACCCUUUUCAUCCCAAACCAAAGAAAAGUUAAUUAAUUGAGUUCAUUCUUUUCUUCUUCUUCUUUUUAAGUAUCUUUAAUUCUUUCUUUUCUGCACGCCCAGCUUAACAUGUUUAGUACAUCGAGCAAACCUCUUAAGUGUUUUAGAACAUCUGUUAUCCUUCCAUGGGCAAUUUGAUUGAGAUGGCUGCCAUUCUGCAAACACGUAGAUCUCAUACUACAACCUCAUAUAUUGGAACACAGAACUAGGGUCCAGUCAGUGGCCAAUCCAGAAACUAACAAACUAACUCUAAUAGUAUCAUAUAAGAGAGGCUAAUAAACAUAUAUAUGCUGAUUAUUAUUACAGUCCUGACUCAUGAAAAUUGUAAUCAAACAUUAGAUAUAUGACUAUUAAACUCUAUUCCAAAUAUAUAACCUUUAAAAUUCACAGAAAUGUGAAAAGACAAAGGCCAACUAAUGUCUAGGCAGCAGAGGAAUGCUCUAUUAGGAGCUGAUAUGUUCCUUCCUAAUUUGGGAAAAAAGCAAGAAAAGCUCUUCACAGCCUUCAAGAAACCUAUAAGCUUGAAAAGAUUUCACUAGUUACUUUAACGUCUUCCAGAUCUGACAUCCAAGAGUAGUUUUGUUUGGUGUGGUUUACAGCAACAGCAGCUAAUUAUGGACAGAAGUAUCAGCAGACAAAGAACAAGAGCUCAUACAUCUGAAGCCACCGACUACAUAAGCCGACUACCAGAUGUAAUUCUAGUCUAUAUACUUUCAUUCCUCCCUCUGAAAGACUGCAUCAAAAUAAGUGCCCUAUCCAAAAGAUGGAAGUACCUUUGGACAAAGACUUCUCGACUAAAUAUAAACGAAAUAGAGAUCAUUGCUAAGCUAGUGAGAAGCAAUUUCUACUGCACCAUCUGUGAGGACAUUUGGACUUCUUCUACUACUUGUUGCCAGAAGCAUUUGCUUAAGGUAGCAAGGAGCAUGUUUGCAGAUGUUGUAGACCGAACUCUCCUACUACACUCAGGCUGCACCCUGGACAAAUUCCAAUUGUCUUUCCUUUAUGAUGUCUAUGAUGGAUUGACAGAAAAGGUUGAUAUCUGGGUUAGGUAUGCUUGGGCAUCCAACAUCAAAGAUAUGGAGUUGAGCUUCUUUAAUCCAGGUCUGUUGGAAUACUUCGAUGAGAGGGUACCUGUUCGCGUAGGUGUCGACCUUAAUUUACUAUAUGAACUGCCUCAUAACUGUUUGGUAUCAAAGAUUCUAAGCAGUUUGAACAUGAACUGCUGCAAGCUAAGAGCAUCUGCUUUAAAAGUUUUUCCUUCUCUUCGAAGGAUAUUCCUAAAGCAGGUUGUCAUCCUUGAUUCUUCAGUUAGAGUUCUGGCAUCAAAAUUUCCUCUUCUAGAAGAUCUGAGCCUGGAAAAUUGUGUCAUCUCCAUACAAUUUUUUGUAUGUGAUGAAGACUUGAUGAUUAAAAGACUUUAUGUGACCAACUGCAAGCCCAAUGAGAUCCCCACCUUCGAGAUUAACAUAUCAACUCCGCGCCUAGUACUACUGGUGUUACAUGGAGUCUAUGUCAAAUUGACUUCUAUGAGGAAAGUGACACAACUGGUUGACGUUACAAUCGACAUCAGAUGUUUGCUUGUCAGCAAAGAACAAGCAGGUCUUACUUCAUUGCUGAGUGGAUUACGCCACUCCCAGAAUCUGACAUUAACAUCAUGGUGCAUUCAGGUAGCUUUUCUCUAUUCCUCUUGCUUGCAAAUUUUGAGCCAAAUACACUCAUUGUCACAUAUCAGUCUGUGGUCAUCAGGCUCUGCCUGCAGAUGAAAAUCUGACAGAUCAAGCGAGAUUCCGACUUCAAGAGGUGGUGCAACUAACUUUAGCGCUGUGCUUAGUAAAGCAUGAUCUUCCGAGGGUGGCCUGCCUCCUAAGGAGCUGUCCAAAUCUGAAAUAGCUGACUCUAACAUUGCAAGGAAAUGCUAGGGCAUAUAACAUGGUAUCAGAAAAAAGAAUCUUACAAGGAAAUAUUAUGAUAUUUUCUGCUCUAUCAGGAGCAUCUAACAUGUGAUCUUACUGUUUUCUUUAGGGUAAUUUCUUCCGUAAUGGUGGUCCAGACAUUUCAGACUGUGAUCCAGAGCACUACUUUCAAUCUGAAUGUUUGCCAUUCCCUUGUCUGGAAAACAGUCUCGAGAAAAUUACAGUUAAUGGGUUUGCUGGAAGAAAGAAUGAGAUGAACGUUGUCCGUUUUCUGCUGAGAAACGCAAGAGUCUUGGAGGAAAUUUCCAUCUUUUAUGAAGACGCAGAGGAGUAUUAUAGAGGAGCAAUGGGACUGUGGAGGCAAAAUGGGCAAUUCCAUCAAAUAUUUUGUGAGCUGCUAAGGUGUCAGAGGGUAUCGGCUCGAGCUGAGGUGAUAUUUUCAAGCCCCCCAAGCGAAUAUGUUAAUUAUGAAGGGUCCUACUAUCUGGUUCAGUAGUUAUGUCUAUGCUGUUCCUAAGUUCUCCCUUUCACAUCGUGCUGAGGAAGGCAUACGUUUUAUAUGGCAGAUCUCUUAUGUUUGGUACCAACUUGUUUGCAGUACUUAUAAAUAAAUACCGCUCAUGUGAUUAUGACGUCCAAUUGUGACAAAAUGACGUGUGGCCUUUUAUCCAUCUAUUCUUGUUAGCUCUAUUGAAUAUCCUCAGCUAUUAUCAGGAGUAAACCAAGCCUCUUGCAACCAAGGACCCAAUUCAUUUUGAGGUAGCUUGACUUCUGGCAAGUAUUUAACAUCCACCUUAGGCCAAACAAAAGAUAUGUACAUGCUACAUGCACACCUACUCAGUCAAGCAGUACAAAUCUUGUUUUAUUUUUACAGGGACGGAACACCUAGCAAACCAUCUAAUAAAAAAGCAUACAAAAAUCAACUUGACUGCCCCUGCAACAUAUUUUCAGCACCCCUGUGCCUUGUGUUUCUACAUUCUGAACACCGUUACAAUAGUUGAGAAUGAGUAGUUCUAGUCUAGAUGGAAUCCAUGAAGUGAAUAUGACAUGACAGAUUAAACAGAAUCCCAUAAAACCAUAUCACAUUUAGAGUCCCACAUAUAGCCAAUGCAAUUCAAACAUCAAAGACAUGAUUAACUAUAACAUUGCAAAUUCAAGAAUGCAGCACAUACCAACAACAUUAAGUGAGCAGGCUUCUUUGCCUUGGGUGCAAAAGAGUAAGAGGAUCCAGCCUCACGUGAUUGAUGAGAAAGCGCUCCUGGUUUCCAUAUCAACAGAAAGCAGGUGUAUUACAGAACAAGUAGCGAAAAUCCAGCCCAUGGUGGCGCCAGCGCCUCAAAUAGAGAUGUCCCAUCCAGUAGAGAGAUUGAAACUGGGCUCAGGUUGGAAUGAGAGAGAAAGCUAAGAACCCUGUAUAAAAAGCAAGAGAAUAGAAAAAAUGGAUGGAAAUUGUCAGGUUGGAUCUCAAAUUGGACCCAGUGUUAGAUCUUCUAUGGAACUAACCAUACAGGCAUCGAUUUGUAUUGUAAUCUUGGAAACGUUUACAGCGUGUUCUGUGUUUUGGCUAAGAGUUUGUGCAUAAGGAAUUUGACAUGUGAAGAAAACAACUCUCUCUCUCUCUCUCUCUCUCAAGCAAGUUUGAGAUUGAUUGACCAGAAAGAAUUACUGAAACGGGAGCUAUAUUACUCAAACGGAAAAUGAGCGCAACGAUGCACAAAUCAAUGGAAGAAAAAGUUGCGAAUUGAUGCAGAUAACCCCCAUAGCAACAUCCAGUUUAGCAUCGUAUAUUGUCAAUAUUCCUGGAAAUCUCGGCUAAAGUCUUGAACUUUUCGAGGUUAUUUUCACCCACAAACGGUGUGAACGCGGCAAAAACCAAACUUUAACCGACUUCGAUCCAUAAAAACGCACUGAAAAUAGAUUCGCGGAGAAAAACGCCAUCCGGGUACCUCUCGGGAGAAGUUUCGCAGUCUGGAGCGAAGUUUCUGAAAAGAAAGCGGAGGGGGCGACGAUGGCGAAAUGGCUUUUAGCUAUUGCCGGUGGGGGGGGACCGCUUCACGGUUUUGCAUUUUCUGGAACCCUGCUCCGCGACCGCAGAUCGUCCCGGGACGAUCCCUGCUUUUCUAGAUGACUCUCGUGGGAACACGAUUCUUUUGAGGCGUCCGAUGAUUCGAGCCAGCGGGGAAAUGGUAAGGGAAAUCGAAAGGCGAGAGGAAUGCGUCCCGCCAUGCUACGCGCGCUUUCUUUUUGCUUUGUCGCGGACCAUUUCUCUACUACCACCAACGCCAACACACUCAAAACCGAAUGUGAUCUUCUUUUCAUCGUGUUGUUGUCGUUGUCUGAUAAUUGCCACCACCUUCUCUUUUACUGCAGAUUUUUUUAUACAUAAAAAAGUGUACGAUCAACGAUAUUGAACAAUCAAUUGAUGCAUAUGAACAAAAAUCGGGUGUUGUACGGUCUUUUCUACUUUUGCGGGUACUGAUAAAUCUUAAAAAUUCAUAGAUUACCCACUCUUGGACCCUAUCGCCUCUCGGACAGCUGG